Molecule: long non-coding RNA, 4507 nt
Organism: Betta splendens (Siamese fighting fish)
Lineage: Eukaryota; Metazoa; Chordata; Actinopteri; Anabantiformes; Osphronemidae
Exons: 3
Source: RefSeq, a predicted model, not a curated record
UGGAUUUUCUUGCUGAUGAGAUUUUGGAUUUUGGUUCAGAGAGGACCUCAUCGUCUUCUGAGUCCGAAGUGAUGGCUUCGUCAAACACUACUCCACGGGCGUGGGCCUUUGGUUGCGCUUUGACAGCUUUCAUCUGUGCUGGAUUGACCCAAACGGACCCGUCACAAAGUCUGUCACCACCCAGUCACCAUGGCGCCCAACUUGGCCGAGACCCGACGGCGGCAGGGAGCACCUUGUCACCGUGGGGAACAGAAACAGCAGCAGGGGGAGAAUUCCCAUGUUGCUGGAGGUGAUGCUGCAGACAAGCCACCAAUCACAGACGGACAAAGACGGAUCCUCCUGGCUGCCUUACAGGACAUCAGUCAAACCCAGCUUUGUUAGCGCCGCAUUCCUCUGCAUUCACUUCAUCAACCAGUCCUGCUCGGGCUCCUCCGUCAAGCAGCGCUCGUGACACCUUGAAUUUUUUCUCUGCGCGCUUUUGAUACUGAAAAUGGCUCAUGAGGUGAUUGUUGACUGCUUGAAUGAUGCUUCUUGUGUUUUUGGUGGCGGCCACCUUUGUGCGGGUCCUGUCAUGUUAUCACAGCGUUUUAAUUAAAAAGAAGGGGACGUACAGACAGACAGGGACACAAUGACGGAUCCCCAGGCUGCUUUACAGGACGCUGCUCAAACAAAGCUCCGGCGGAGCUGCGUGACUUCGCUUUGUCUGUCUGACGACAAUUCUCUGACUCCAACGAUUCUAACUAUGCCUCUGUCGUUGAGACGCACGACACUGUGAGGUGUCAGACACGUAAUUGACGAAAACACUUUUUUUCUACCUGUCACUGUCCUCCAACACACAUGACUUAACAUUUUGCUCUCGAGGCCUUUGCGCACAUUGUUAGAGAUGCACAGGAACAAGGUGUAAAAGUUUCCUCCCCUCCACUAAGCUGUCAGAGGAGAAACACACAGGCAAGAACAAGAUGACAAACUUUCUAAGCUGUUGUUUUUGGUGGCAGACAGGCUGCGUGUGUGUGUGUGUGUGUGUGCGUCUCAGCUGAGAUGGGAAUGUCAGCACAGGACCAGCCCCCUGCUGCUGGACACCAGUCGGGGGUCCGCCUCCCGUGGGACGCGCCCGAUAAGCGCUGUGAAUGUGUGUGUGCUGUGUGUGUGUGACCCAUGCGUGUGCAUCAUAAAUAUGUGCGCGCCUACGUGAGCGCCGGGGGCCGGCGUCUGGGCCGCCUCGGACGGGGGAAGGGAGGUGAGCGCGGUGACAGCCUCAGCUGUGUUGAAUUGUGGGAGAAAAAGAGCUGACGCGACGGGAGCUGAUGUCUGACAUGACCCCUCUCAGCGGGCGCGCGGCGGGGAGCUGGGAGCGGGAGCCGCCGCUGGCCGAGCGCGGCUGUGUGCGCGCGUGUGUGUGUGUGUGUGUGUGUGCGCGCGCGAGGUGGGAAAGUGAAGGGGAAGGACGGUGAGAGGCAAGAACGCGGCGGGGCUUUUUCUUUGGCCGCAUCGCAGCGACGUUGAUAGCGGAGUCUGUGAAACGGCGCCUUGAUGGACGUGACGCCGCACUUUUCCUGCUGUAAACCAAUCCCCUCCACGCCUUGCCGGCCAUUUUCCCUGCCUCCAUAUCAUAUACCUCUCCUUGACCUUCUCGCUCUUUGUUGGUGUCCCUGUGCUCCCUCAUUCCUGCUUUUUCUUCCCGGCUCCGUCCCUCCUGACGGUGCAUUCAGGCCGGUAAAGUGAUCUUGGGGGCGCGGAGCUCGUUGGCCUUCAUUAUUCCCCAAUCACUCCUGCCAUCUUUUGCUCUUUACACUUUCUCGUCUCAUCUCUGUUUGCAUCAUUCCCGAAUUCUUUCAUUCCUCAUCCUUCUACACACACACACACACACACACACACACACACACACACACACACACACACACACACACACACACACACACACACACACCUUCACCCUCUCUUUUCACUGUCUCUCCUUUCUGGGUCUGUUGCUUUGCCAUCAGUCUCUGAUAAGUGCCCACAAAGCCCCCACUGUCUAAUGUGACCCUUUAUUCUUCCCCCAUCCUCUCUCUCUCUCUUUCUCCCUCUCUCUCUCUCUCUCUGUCUCCUUUUUUCCUCCAUCCUGGAGCAGCCAAGCGUGAGGUAAAGAGUGGGGGCCGUUUGUCUUAUACACACACCCAAACUUGUUUUACCUUCAUCCCCUGUUCCCUUCACUUUUCUCUCCUCAUCAUCCUUUCCCAUACUCUGUUUUUAACUUGUCCAACUUUCUUUUGUUCCUCAUCCUCGUCCUGUCUCUCUGUCCUCUAACUUUUCUCGGCCUGCAGGGAAACCUUGCCCUGCUUCUCUCAGGAUGCUGGUGUUUCUCAAAUGGGACCGGGGCUCAGAUCUAACACAUUUAUCCAGAAUAAAAUGUUAGUCUGAGACAUCUAGCCUCUCUCUAACUCUCAUCUAGUCCUGUCAAUCAGCAGCCCAGUCAGUCAGUCAGUCUGCACUGCCAACCAUCACUCUGAGCAGGACUAAUGGGUCUUGUUAGCCACUUAACUGCCUGCUUUGCUCCCUCUCGGAGUAUGAAUGGAAUAACCCUAAUGGUGCUUGUUUGCCACUCCACUGCUUUCCCUUAUCCUCCUAUGGCUUUAUCAUUGCUGAUCAGUGUACCUGGAGAUAAGUCCCUGUGUGAGCAGGCAGUAUCCUCUUCCUUGAGCUUUUAUCAGAGCUGAUCAGUGUACCCAGACUUCUCUGUUAGAGACCCCGCCUGAGAAGGUCGUGUUUUCAUUCCCCCCAAUCGGCUCGCUGACCGAUAAGACAAUUUGUCAGGUGGAAAUCAGAGAGGCCUUUUCUUGGUUGUCUAUGGAAGGCAGAUGGAGGAGGGAGAUUGAGAGGUGGAAAGAAUGAAGGAACAAAGUAACACGAGGAAAAAUGAUGUGUUUUAUCAUCGCUAAGAGGAAAGAUGGAUGUCCGUGGGUUUCCUAUAUUUCAGGCAGAUGUCGUUCAUUAUUUGGCUCAGCGUGAUGGUGAAGAACUGGUUGUAAUAGUCACCCACUACACCAACAGUCACUGUGGGAACGACAGCAAACAGCCACGUAAUGGAAAAUCAAAGAGGAGCAUGUCGUUGGCACCACGUUAUUUUGACUUCAAACUGGAGCAUUUUCUGUUGGAAAAGUAAAACCUGGCUUUUGCUAAACUAAAAAUCUGAAGCAUAAUCUGAAUGUCUGACCAAGUAAAUUGCUGUACAUAAACUGAGGUAGCAGUGACUUCCAUCAGUCUGUUUUGCUCAACUUUUUCCUUUUUGCCACUUCAGUCUACAAGCAGCAUGGUUCUAUUUCUUUACCCUCACAAUGCUCUAAUAAAAGUCUUUAAAAACUUUAAUAUGAGAUAAACGUAAAUGUAUUGAUGAAUGAUUGUACAAACUACUGAGCUGUUCUCUGUGUUUCCAAAAUGAAACGCAACAAAUAUUGCAUGUGGCACGAGUGCUAACUUUUCCAGUGGACCUUCUCAUCAGUAUUCACUCCCUCUCUUUCAGGCUUCCCACUCUGGCCCUCUCUAAUCUGAUCAUCUCCUCUGCAGACUCACACAAAGCCUCCAAUAGUCCAGCCAAGGCCCCUUAAUCGACAUGUUAUUGCCCACAAUCGCAUUUACAGCGCUGAGGAAAAUCUGCACAGAUGCAAUUGUGUCGGCUGCUAAUCCAAUAAGCCCGCACUCACUUUUCUUUUGCUUGGCAUCUUUCAUCUCCAAAAACAAGGUGACAGUGUUUUAAUUUUCAUUCGAGGGUUACUCUCCAUCAGUUAAGCUCGCAGUGUGUGGUGGAGUUUAUGGAGCCAGACAUGUGUAGGUGCUGGUUAUUGUACAAGCUUUUAUUUGUCCCCUUUGGGAAAAUGAAAAGGAGGGUUUUUGGUUCAGAUGUGAUUAGAAAAGGAGCCUUGUGUUAUUUUUUAUUUACACAGGCAGUGUCUAUUGGAUCAUACUGGUAGGAUUUGCUGGGUUUGGUGCUUAGUUUGGUCAAAGGGGUCAGUGCAUAAUAGAUAAUGUUCAGGAGGCAAAAGCACAGCUAAAAGUCACAGUGACGACUGGCCUUUGGAUGCUGGGAAGAAAACUGGCUAAUAAACACAGAGAGAUGUUAAACUUAGCUUGAGCUUUAGAAAGUCAAAGCAUUACUCUUGUGAUAUAUACUUAAAAUAAUAAUAAUAAUAAUAUCGCUGAAGUAUUUUUCUACAGGAAGAUUAUUCACCAGAGUGAAGAGUUCCUGCCACUACUCUUUCCAGUAGUGGACGAUGAAGCACAUUCAACCCAAGGUCGGACUCUGAGAAACGUCAUGAAUCAAGAGCUACACCUCAGACCAUCCGGGCCCCACUGAGCCUGGUAAAUGUUAAAGUUUAUGACAGCACAAUUAGAAAAAGACCCAACAAGAAAUCCUCUGUCUAAACGGAAAACAACAAGCAACAAGACACCUAACCUGCAGUCUGUGUCAAUCAGAAACUCCUCUUUACACCAGUGUUCAGAAAAAUGAGAGGUGGUCGUAUGGACUGUUGCA